This 93-nucleotide transfer RNA is filed under the name Coprinopsis cinerea okayama7#130. It matches the Rfam family "tRNA". Rfam says of the family: Transfer RNA (tRNA) molecules are approximately 80 nucleotides in length. The record is from Rfam by way of RNAcentral. RNAcentral also lists the same sequence under 1 other name. Lineage: Eukaryota; Fungi; Basidiomycota; Agaricomycetes; Agaricales; Psathyrellaceae.
GCUGGAAUGGCCGAGUCGUUAAGGCGAGUGAUUUGAAUACCCAAACAUAUCACUUGGUGUUUCACCGCGUAGGUUCAAAUCCUGCUUCCAGCG